Molecule: long non-coding RNA, 748 nt
Filed under: Setaria viridis
Lineage: Eukaryota; Viridiplantae; Streptophyta; Magnoliopsida; Poales; Poaceae
Description: long non-coding RNA (SVIR_LNC000351)
Source: RNAcentral
AGGUCAGUAUCAGCUAUUAGGAGUCAGUCCCACAUGUAACUUAUGUGUAAUUUUAUAUUCAAAUUUCCUUAUCUUCUAUUGUGUAAUGCUAGAAAUUACAUAACAAAAGGAUUGUCCGCCUCUGCUACAAUAAUCUCACUUGCACUAUAUCUUUUAAACAAUUGAUCUAGUCUAGGUGAGGCAUAAUGCAUAUGGUCUGUUCAGCUGAGCUGUCUCCAUGUUGUUCAACUGAAUAGAAAUAUUUAAUAUGUUUUUUGUAUAACUUUAGGUAGUAAUAUUUUCUGUUUGUCAUGCAGAAGCUGUUUCAUAUUGAUUUUUGCUAAUUAUAUUUCCAUGCUCUACUCUAGCCGAACAAGAACUUCAUAUCAUUAGGUUUAUCAAACAUGUAAAAGUAGACCAGCAACAUUCAUAGCUGUUGCUUAAGUAUCCCUGUCCACAAUUGGUCCUAACUCCUAACAUCACUUAAUAGGAACAGCAAGUCAUGCUCACCUAACACUUUGUAAAGGUGGAAAGGAGAUUAAUGCUAAUGGUUGUCGUUAAAUUAGGUAGGCUUCAAUGGAAUUGCAAAUUGACAGAUCAGUUUCCUUAAGAUUCACCCCUCCUACCAAUCGUUCUACUACUUUUUAGUUCCAUCCAUUGAUUCCUUUUAGUCAGACCAGAGAUAUGUACUGGUGUGGUAAUCUCUUGCUCUAGUGGUCCGUGAUGGACAAAGCUUUCCUUGCAAGACUGUACAUGCUUACUUCCUCAC